GCCCCUAUAGCUCAGUGGAUUAGAGCAGCGGGUUUCUACCCCGCGUGUCCCGGGUUCGAGUCCUGGUAGGGGCGC
Molecule: transfer RNA, 75 nt
Filed under: Corynebacterium massiliense DSM 45435
Lineage: Bacteria; Bacillati; Actinomycetota; Actinomycetes; Mycobacteriales; Corynebacteriaceae
Description: tRNA-Arg
Rfam family: tRNA
About the family: Transfer RNA (tRNA) molecules are approximately 80 nucleotides in length. Their secondary structure includes four short double-helical elements and three loops (D, anti-codon, and T loops).
Source: RNAcentral